RNAcentral lists this ribosomal RNA (1293 nucleotides) under Psychrobacter namhaensis. RNAcentral describes it as "bacterial SSU rRNA". It matches the Rfam family "Bacterial small subunit ribosomal RNA", at positions 153 to 1443 of the family's 1533-position model. The record is from RNAcentral. Lineage: Bacteria; Pseudomonadati; Pseudomonadota; Gammaproteobacteria; Moraxellales; Moraxellaceae.
GAAACUCGUAUUAAUACCGCAUACGACCUACGGGAGAAAGGGGGCAGUUUACUGCUCUCGCUAUUAGAUGAGCCUAAGUCGGAUUAGCUAGAUGGUGGGGUAAAGGCCUACCAUGGCGACGAUCUGUAGCUGGUCUGAGAGGAUGAUCAGCCACACCGGGACUGAGACACGGCCCGGACUCCUACGGGAGGCAGCAGUGGGGAAUAUUGGACAAUGGGGGAAACCCUGAUCCAGCCAUGCCGCGUGUGUGAAGAAGGCCUUUUGGUUGUAAAGCACUUUAAGCAGUGAAGAAGACUCCAUGGUUAAUACCCAUGGACGAUGACAUUAGCUGCAGAAUAAGCACCGGCUAACUCUGUGCCAGCAGCCGCGGUAAUACAGAGGGUGCAAGCGUUAAUCGGAAUUACUGGGCGUAAAGGGAGCGUAGGUGGCUCUAUAAGUCAGAUGUGAAAUCCCCGGGCUUAACCUGGGAACUGCAUCUGAAACUGUAGAGCUAGAGUAUGUGAGAGGAAGGUAGAAUUCCAGGUGUAGCGGUGAAAUGCGUAGAGAUCUGGAGGAAUACCGAUGGCGAAGGCAGCCUUCUGGCAUAAUACUGACACUGAGGCUCGAAAGCGUGGGUAGCAAACAGGAUUAGAUACCCUGGUAGUCCACGCCGUAAACGAUGUCUACUAGUCGUUGGGUCCCUUGAGGACUUAGUGACGCAGCUAACGCAAUAAGUAGACCGCCUGGGGAGUACGGCCGCAAGGUUAAAACUCAAAUGAAUUGACGGGGGCCCGCACAAGCGGUGGAGCAUGUGGUUUAAUUCGAUGCAACGCGAAGAACCUUACCUGGUCUUGACAUAUCUAGAAUCCUGCAGAGAUGCGGGAGUGCCUUCGGGAAUUAGAAUACAGGUGCUGCAUGGCUGUCGUCAGCUCGUGUCGUGAGAUGUUGGGUUAAGUCCCGCAACGAGCGCAACCCUUGUCCUUAGUUACCAGCGGGUUAAGCCGGGAACUCUAAGGAUACUGCCAGUGACAAACUGGAGGAAGGCGGGGACGACGUCAAGUCAUCAUGGCCCUUACGACCAGGGCUACACACGUGCUACAAUGGUAGGUACAGAGGGCAGCUACACAGCGAUGUGAUGCGAAUCUCAAAAAGCCUAUCGUAGUCCAGAUUGGAGUCUGCAACUCGACUCCAUGAAGUAGGAAUCGCUAGUAAUCGCGGAUCAGAAUGCCGCGGUGAAUACGUUCCCGGGCCUUGUACACACCGCCCGUCACACCAUGGGAGUUGAUUGCACCAGAAGUGGAUAGCUUAACCUUC